CCUACGGGAGGCAGCAGUGGGGAAUAUUGGACAAUGGGCGAAAGCCUGAUCCAGCCAUGCCGCGUGUGUGAAGAAGGCCUUCGGGUUGUAAAGCACUUUCAGUGGGGAAGAAAGCCUUGGGGCUAAUACCCUCGAGGAAGGACAUCACCCACAGAAGAAGCACCGGCUAACUCCGUGCCAGCAGCCGCGGUAAUACGGAGGGUGCGAGCGUUAAUCGGAAUUACUGGGCGUAAAGCGCGCGUAGGCGGUCUGAUAAGCCGGUUGUGAAAGCCCCGGGCUCAACCUGGGAACGGCAUCCGGAACUGUCAGGCUAGAGUGCAGGAGAGGAGGGUAGAAUUCCAGGUGUAGCGGUGAAAUGCGUAGAGAUCGGGAGGAAUAACAGUGGCGAAGGCGGCCUUCUGGACUGACACUGACGCUGAGGUGCGAAAGCGUGGGUAGCAAACAGGAUUAGAUACCCGGGUAGUC
This 465-nucleotide ribosomal RNA is filed under the name Vreelandella stevensii. RNAcentral describes it as "partial 16S ribosomal RNA". It matches the Rfam family "Bacterial small subunit ribosomal RNA", at positions 338 to 795 of the family's 1533-position model. Lineage: Bacteria; Pseudomonadati; Pseudomonadota; Gammaproteobacteria; Oceanospirillales; Halomonadaceae. The record is from RNAcentral.